GACGAACGCUGGCGGCGUGCUUAACACAUGCAAGUCGAACGGAAAGGCCCUGCUUUUGUGGGGUGCUCGAGUGGCGAACGGGUGAGUAACACGUGAGUAACCUGCCCUUGACUUUGGGAUAACUCAGGAAACCGGGGGUAAUACCGGAUAAGAGCCGCUGCUGCAUUGUGGGGGUUGGAAAGUUUCGGCGGUUGGGGAUGGACUUGGGGGUUAUCCGCUUGUUGGUGGGGUAGGGGCUUACCAAGGCUUUGACGGGUAGCCGGCCUGAGAGGGGGACCGGCAAAAUGGGGACUGAGAUACGGCCCAGACCCCACGGGAGGCAGCAGUGGGGAAUAUUGCACAAUGGGCGGAAGCCUGAUGCAGCAACGCCGCGUGCGGGAUGAAGGCCUUCGGGUUGUAAACCGCUUUCGCCUGUGACGAAGCGUGAGUGACGGUAAUGGGUAAAGAAGCACCGGCUAACUACGUG
Molecule: ribosomal RNA, 466 nt
Filed under: uncultured bacterium
Lineage: Bacteria
Description: partial 16S ribosomal RNA
Rfam family: Bacterial small subunit ribosomal RNA
Source: RNAcentral